Molecule: small nuclear RNA, 107 nt
Organism: Tupaia belangeri (northern tree shrew)
Lineage: Eukaryota; Metazoa; Chordata; Mammalia; Scandentia; Tupaiidae
Source: Ensembl
AUGCUUGCUUCAGCAGCACAUAUACUAAAACUGGAAUGAUAUAGCAAAGAUUAUCAUGGCUCCUGCACAAGGAUGACAUGCAAAUUCAUGAAGUGUUCCAUAUUUUU